MicroRNA precursor from Chlorocebus sabaeus (green monkey), 88 nucleotides. The record is from Ensembl. Lineage: Eukaryota; Metazoa; Chordata; Mammalia; Primates; Cercopithecidae.
UUUGGGAGGCCAAGGCGGGAGGAUCGCUUGAGCCCAGGAGUUGGAGACCAGCUGUGGCAACAAAGUGAGACCUCCAUCUCUACAAAAA